This 274-nucleotide long non-coding RNA is filed under the name Eucalyptus grandis. RNAcentral describes it as "long non-coding RNA (EGRA_LNC001001)". Lineage: Eukaryota; Viridiplantae; Streptophyta; Magnoliopsida; Myrtales; Myrtaceae. The record is from RNAcentral.
AUGAAUGGUAAGACAAAUAUAAUGUAAUGUGAGAAAGAUAGCUUAUGACACAAUUUAAAAUGAAAGAAAAUACAAUUCUAUAUGGGGACUUAAAAGGGUGUCAUUGAGAUGAUCUUCUAAGGUAUGUCUUUAUUAGACUUACCCUUUAAUUGCGAUGCGAGGCAAUUUUGGUAUGGAGUUUUGACUUCAAUGAGCAAAAGGGGACAUGCGAACCGAAACAUGCUUUGAAGUUGAAGUCAUUCGUGAGCUCCGAUCUUGAUCAUUGUAUGUCUGC